This 990-nucleotide long non-coding RNA is filed under the name Homo sapiens (human). RNAcentral describes it as "HSALNT0195228". Lineage: Eukaryota; Metazoa; Chordata; Mammalia; Primates; Hominidae. The record is from RNAcentral.
AAAAUUUGAAUUGGGAUUCCAUUCCUACAUAUGGUUGCUUGUGAUGCCCCAUGAAAUCAGAGUUCUGCGGACCCACAAAGCAUGGGAGUUCAGCAAGACUGAGGUACAAGGAGUCUUUGUGUUUGAACCAAAAUCCAACUGUAAUCCACAGACAUCAAGCUCUCAUGUCAACAGGACAGAAUACUAUAAGUAGAAGUUUUUCAGGUACCUUGCAAUCAUGCUUCAAGGGCAGAAGUUACUGCAGCCACUUGCACAAUGGUGUCAGACUGCAUUCUGGGGAGAGUAAGAGCUGGCAGAGUGGUGAAAACAGUGGCUCAAAAACUUGAGCAUGUGACAGAAUCGCCUGGGCAAUAGAUGGUUGACUCACAGAUUGCUGGGCUCUACCCUCAGAUUUUCUGACUCAGUAGGUCCAAGGAGAGGCCUGGGCAUGUGAAUCUCUAAUACAUGCUCAGGCAGUGCUGACUAGUAUUGAUGAUCUGAUGCUACUGGUCUGGGGCUCACACUUUGAGAACCACUGGGUUAAAAGAAUCAUACGUAGUUACUGAGAACUUAUUCUACACCAAGAUCUGUCUUCAACUCUUUUCAAAUAUGACAUCAUUUAACUACUAAAUGAUGGACCCCACAACAACUAAAUGAGGACCCUGGAGGAACCAAGAGGCUAAAAAGCAUCUUCAAGUCAUGCCCCUCGUACCUGGUGGAAUCAGGAUUGGAGUCCGGAGUGCUGGCUCCAGAGCCUGUACUUCCCACAUGGGAUGCAUGCUACAUCGUGUCCCAAAGGUCCAGGCUGUAGGAGAUGGAGACACUUGGGUUCCAGCUUUGCUUUCAGCUGUGGGAUCCUGGGAAAGUCGCUUGGCUUCUCUGUGCCUCGAUUUCCUCAUCUGCAGAAGGGGGAUCCUAACAGCCACCACCUCAUAGUGUUGUCACAGUGACUUCAUGAGCGAAUGAAGCAGAGGCAGAUUACCUGAACAGGGGACAGUUCCUGGGCUUGCU